Long non-coding RNA from Phacochoerus africanus (Common warthog), 656 nucleotides. RefSeq lists it as uncharacterized. The transcript is spliced from 2 exons. The record is from RefSeq and is a predicted model, not a curated record. NCBI's taxonomy places the organism in Eukaryota, Metazoa, Chordata, Mammalia, Artiodactyla, Suidae.
CGCGAAGCCCGCCUCGAGCGGAAGCGGAAGUUACGUAAUCCCCAGCGCCGCGCGCAGACAAGAGGACCCACCCGAGAGAGGAGCUAAGUGGAAACUGUGGAAACCGUGGCAACAUUCCUUUUGGCCUGGAUCGAAGGUUUCUUCACUCCCCCGGCUCAUCGUCAACCCCCGGGCCUGAACUCAACACCUGGCAAAGCAAAAUACUUGCCUUAAAUUCCCCUCAAACAGAUUCUUCCGUCUUCUCUUGGAGUCGCCGUCCUUCGGCCUCUGAGAUUUAAAAGUUCUCACCUUGGUCAGCUGGUGCCUGCUACUACCCAACGAUGACUUCUGGGCAGCUAUAUGAGGAAACCAAGUCUUUAACAUUCCUUCUACCUGUAGCAGUGUUGCUAGAUAACGCUCUCUGUGAAAAAUACAUUAAAAAAAGAGAGAAAGCCAUUAGCUGUGAAAAAAAAGCAACAGGAUAGGAUUGGAGAUAUCUCCCUUUUUAUGAAGUAAUGAGGAAAGUACCAAGGGGACUUACCCCAUCUGUGGCUUCUGCAAAACACCCACGAUACGCUGGAUCCUAUCCAUUGCUACACUCUGCUGGAAACUGCUCAAUCCUGGGAUCAGGGAGAGAGAAAGAGAGAUCAAGCAUUGAGAUUCAAGAAUUUAGUCAG